UGAAGGUGAUGCUGCACUGCCUUGUAGAGUUAAGUGUCACAGCUGAGAAGUAUGCGCCAUUCCAAUUCCCGAACCUUUGUGUGUGAAUUGCCUGUUUCCUCGGGAGUUUUGCUUCUAGGGAUUUCUCUUUGUCUCCGAACCACAGUGAUCAACUGAGCAGUAUAUCUCAUUGCAUUUGCAAGCUGGAUGCUCUCUCAUGGGCCUUAGAGAUAAUGCAACUCUUCAUUUUACAGAUGAAGAAAUGUUGCCCAGAGAUACCAACAUCUCCUAUCAAGUACACCUUCCACGAUAUCUUCUAAGGGCCAAUUUGAUUCCCAACUUCUCCAUGAAGAUGUCCCCUGCCAAUCUAACACAGUGACUUUCUUCCUGCAAAAUCGUAAAACAAACCACACAUUGAGCAAAAUCUUGUUUCUCUCCCACAGCACUAUCACUGUUGUGCAUAUCCAACAAGAUAUUUUUUGAAAAGAGAAUGUAUAUUAGACCUAGGUGUUGCUCUCAAGGAGCUUGUAGUCCAGCAGAGAAAAUAAUUAUAAUACAGACACAAAUAGUAAAAUAAAUAAAGAAUGCAAAGAUAAACUACUGUUCUU
Molecule: long non-coding RNA, 587 nt
Organism: Canis lupus familiaris (dog)
Lineage: Eukaryota; Metazoa; Chordata; Mammalia; Carnivora; Canidae
Exons: 3
Source: RefSeq, a predicted model, not a curated record